RNAcentral lists this ribosomal RNA (468 nucleotides) under uncultured bacterium. Its description in RNAcentral is "partial 16S ribosomal RNA". It matches the Rfam family "Bacterial small subunit ribosomal RNA", at positions 28 to 507 of the family's 1533-position model. The record is from RNAcentral.
GACGAACGCUGGCGGCGUGCUUAACACAUGCAGGUCGAACGGAAAGGCCCUGCUUUUGUGGGGUGCUCGAGUGGCGAACGGGUGAGUAACACGUGAGUAACCUGCCCUUGACUUUGGGAUAACUUCAGGAAACUGGGGCUAAUACCGGAUAGGAGCUCCUGCUGCAUGGUGGGGGUUGGAAAGUUUCGGCGGUUGGGGAUGGACUCGCGGCUUAUCAGCUUGUUGGUGGGGUAGUGGCUUACCAAGGCUUUGACGGGUAGCCGGCCUGAGAGGGUGACCGGCCACAGUGGGACUGAGAUACGGCCCAGACUCCUACGGGAGGCAGCAGUGGGGAAUAUUGCACAAUGGGCGGAAGCCUGAUGCAGCAACGCCGCGUGCGGGAUGACGGCCUUCGGGUUGUAAACCGCUUUCGCCUGUGACGAAGCGUGAGUGACGGUAAUGGGUAAAGAAGCACCGGCUAACUACGUG